GACGAACGCUGGCGGCGUGCUUAACACAUGCAAGUCGAACGGAAAGGCCCUGCUUUUGUGGGGUGCUCGAGUGGCGAACGGGUGAGUAACACGUGAGUAACCUGCCCUUGACUUUGGGAUAACUUCAGGAAACUGGGGCUAAUACCGGAUAGGAGCUCCUGCUGCAUGGUGGGGGUUGGAAAGUUUCGGUGGUUGGGGAUGGACUCGCGGCUUAUCAGCUUGUUGGUGGGGUAGUGGCUUACCAAGGCUUUGAGGGGUAGCGGGCCUGUGAGGGUGACCGGCCACAUUGGGACUGAGAUACGGCCCAGACUCCUACGGGAGGCAGCAGUGGGGAAUAUUGCACAAUGGGCGGAAGCCUGAUGCAGCAACGCCGCGUGCGGGAUGACGGCCUUCGGGUUGUAAACCGCUUUCGCCUGUGACGAAGCGUGAGUGACGGUAAUGGGUAAAGAAGCACCGGCUAACUACGUG
This 468-nucleotide ribosomal RNA is filed under the name uncultured bacterium. RNAcentral's name for it is "partial 16S ribosomal RNA". It matches the Rfam family "Bacterial small subunit ribosomal RNA", at positions 28 to 507 of the family's 1533-position model. The record is from RNAcentral.